CAGUAGCCGCGGUAAUACGGAGGGCGCGAGCGUUACCCGGAUUUACUGGGCGUAAAGGGCGUGUAGGCGGCCUGGGGCGUCCCAUGUGAAAGGCCACGGCUCAACCGUGGAGGAGCGUGGGAUACGCUCAGGCUAGAGGGUGGGAGAGGGUGGUGGAAUUCCCGGAGUAGCGGUGAAAUGCGCAGAUACCGGGAGGAACGCCGAUGGCGAAGACAGCCACCUGGUCCACUUCUGACGCUGAGGCGCGAAAGCGUGGGGAGCAAACCGGAUUAGAUACCCGCGUAGUCCCUGUCUCUUAUAC
Molecule: ribosomal RNA, 301 nt
Filed under: uncultured bacterium
Lineage: Bacteria
Description: partial 16S ribosomal RNA
Rfam family: Bacterial small subunit ribosomal RNA
Source: RNAcentral